This 447-nucleotide ribosomal RNA is filed under the name Mycobacterium tuberculosis. RNAcentral describes it as "partial 23S ribosomal RNA". It matches the Rfam family "Bacterial large subunit ribosomal RNA", at positions 1343 to 1686 of the family's 2925-position model. Lineage: Bacteria; Bacillati; Actinomycetota; Actinomycetes; Mycobacteriales; Mycobacteriaceae. The record is from RNAcentral.
GACCAAGGGUUCCAGGGCUAGGCUAAUCCGCCCUGGGUAAGUCGGGACCUAAGGCGAGGCCGACAGGCGUAGUCGAUGGACAACCAGUUGAUAUUCUGGUACCGACACACAACCGACAAUACCAAAACACAUGAGACUAACUCCCCGGUCCACCCGUGGCGUCUUCGGAUGUCUGGUUGGUGGGUUGGUGAGGACCUGAGUGUGGAGUCGGUAAGCGUGAGGUGUGACGCAGAAAGGUAGCCAGGCCACGCGAUGGUAGUCGUGGUCUAAGGUCGUAGCAUGUGGGGGUAGGCAAAUCCGUCCCCACACAAGUGUGAGAGCUGAUGGGCGCCCCACAGUGGUGGGGUGAUCUGGUGAUCCUCUGCUGCCGAGAAAAGCAUCGACGUGAGGGUGUGUGUUGCCCGUACCCUAUAACCGACACAGGUGGUCAGGUAGAGAAUACUAAGG